This 281-nucleotide unclassified non-coding RNA is filed under the name Hevea brasiliensis (rubber tree). Lineage: Eukaryota; Viridiplantae; Streptophyta; Magnoliopsida; Malpighiales; Euphorbiaceae. The record is from RNAcentral.
UUUCUUUCUUUCUUUCCUUUUUCCUCCAAAAAGAAAUAAAAGAGGAAGAAUAAAUAGCAAGCUCAAACUGGGCUUGUUUGCUCUAGAAAGCUAAAUGUUUGAGUAACACAUGUGAACCUUCAAAAGCAAGUGAGGGAGGGCAGAUAAACUUUUAGGAAAGUCCAAUUUUUCGGGAUCAAAACUUCCCAUAUCAUUAGUUCAUUACCAUAAUAAUAGGGCAUCAUUUAACUAUGGAGGAAACUACAGGAAUGUAGGAACUAAAGAAUAUAUUACCUUAUAAC